AUUGAACGCUGGCGGCAUGCCUUACACAUGCAAGUCGAACGGCAGCACGGGAGCAAUCCUGGUGGCGAGUGGCGAACGGGUGAGUAAUAUAUCGGAACGUGCCCAGUCGUGGGGAUAACGUAGCGAAAGCUACGCUAAUACCGCAUACGAUCUACGGAUGAAAGCGGGGGAUCGCAAGACCUCGCGCGAUUGGAGCGGCCGAUAUCAGAUUAGGUAGUUGGUGAGGUAAAGGCUCACCAAGCCGACGAUCUGUAGCUGGUCUGAGAGGACGACCAGCCACACUGGGACUGAGACACGGCCCAGACUCCUACGGGAGGCAGCAGUGGGGAAUUUUGGACAAUGGGCGCAAGCCUGAUCCAGCAAUGCCGCGUGCAGGAUGAAGGCCUUCGGGUUGUAAACUGCUUUGUAC
RNAcentral lists this ribosomal RNA (409 nucleotides) under uncultured bacterium. RNAcentral describes it as "bacterial SSU rRNA". It matches the Rfam family "Bacterial small subunit ribosomal RNA", at positions 30 to 440 of the family's 1533-position model. The record is from RNAcentral.